Molecule: transfer RNA, 63 nt
Filed under: uncultured Ruminococcus sp.
Lineage: Bacteria; Bacillati; Bacillota; Clostridia; Eubacteriales; Oscillospiraceae
Rfam family: tRNA
About the family: Transfer RNA (tRNA) molecules are approximately 80 nucleotides in length. Their secondary structure includes four short double-helical elements and three loops (D, anti-codon, and T loops). Further hydrogen bonds mediate the characteristic L-shaped molecular structure. tRNAs have two regions of fundamental functional importance: the anti-codon, which is responsible for specific mRNA codon recognition, and the 3' end, to which the tRNAs corresponding amino acid is attached (by aminoacyl-tRNA synthetases). tRNAs cope with the degeneracy of the genetic code in two manners: having more than one tRNA (with a specific anti-codon) for a particular amino acid; and 'wobble' base-pairing, i.e. permitting non-standard base-pairing at the 3rd anti-codon position.
Source: RNAcentral
GAUAGCUCAGCUGGAUAGAGCGGUUGCCUCCUAAGCAACAGGUCGGGGGUUCGAAUCCCUUUC